Carassius auratus (goldfish) is the source of this 2483-nucleotide long non-coding RNA. RefSeq lists it as uncharacterized. Lineage: Eukaryota; Metazoa; Chordata; Actinopteri; Cypriniformes; Cyprinidae. The record is from RefSeq and is a predicted model, not a curated record. The transcript is spliced from 4 exons.
UGACGUGUGCUUGUGCUGUAGGUCAAUAGAGGAGAGAUGGUGUCCGUGGUGAGGCAGCCGCAGAACCCUAUGACCGAAAUGCGGUGAUUGUUGUUAAUGUGUCUGGAAGUCAGGUGGGGCACAUCAGGAAAGAGCCUGCAGCCACAAUGGCCUACAUUAUGGACAACAAUUUGGCCAGUAUGGAAGGGGUUGUGUCAUAUGGAGAGGAAAAAUACAUUUUCAAUGCCAGUAAACCUCACACUCUGGGGCAAAGAGGAGAACCGAGAAGCUGUGCAUAAUCAGAUGAGAUAGCACUGAGGUCAAAGGUUCAGCCAUUUGUUUAUUUGCUUCUUUAUUUUAGUUGGUGAACGCAUAACACUUAUAUUAUUGAUAUUUUAUUAUCUUAGGAGGGACUACACAAACAUUUGUGGGUAGAGAUCUGCUUGGUUUGUCUUCAAAAAUAUCUGCCAUUCCUGGCAAAUUCCAUGUGACGGAUGUUAGUUAUAAGAUGUCCAAAUGAAUUAUUGUUCUUUGUCUGGUAUGACUUUAUAUGGUCAAAUCUAGAUCAGUGGUUCUCACAAGUUUUUUUUCCCCUACACAACACAAUAUCUAUAAAAUCUCUGUAUAAUCACGCAUUACAAAGUAUAAAUAAUAUUAAAUACAAAUAAAUAAAUGAUAAGCCUUAUUUAUUUUAAUAUUCUUUAAUAUAAUAUGAACCAUAUUUACUUUUUCCUUGCCUAAUUUUGUUUUAUCGGAUGCACAGCUGUUGACGUCAACAACAAAUAAUAUGGGAGGCUUGUUUUUAGUUUUAAAAGGCGAUAAGUUGAUAUAUUUUGCUGUCUUAACUAUACAUAGUAUGAUAUGAGGCAUGAUGAUAUAGUUAGUUUCAUUUAGCAUUCAUUUAACAUUCUAUUUUUCAUCGAUUUGGAACAAACAAUCAACACACCAGUAGAGAACCACCAAUCAAUAUGUUUAUGGUGCUUUUUGCACAAUUUUGGUGAACUGAAUAAUAAAACUUAUUUUUGUUAAAUCAUAAUCAGCUGAACAUAUGCCUUUGACACACUAUUUGUUGAUUUAAUGGGGGAUAAAACCAGAGAAAUGGAGCCAGCAGAGGUGAGAGCACAGAAAGAACACACAUCUGUUUUUGUACCGUCAAUCUCAUCUCAUCCAUCAGUCACUUACAGAUGUCUCUGUUCAUGUCUGACCGUGCAGGCAGUGUGCACUUCCCUGCUCCAACAUCAAAAGCAGGCGCUCUCUUGACCUCUUGUGAGAACGGCAACGAUCUGCCCCCAUUCUGGGAGGAGAAGCAUGGCCUCUACUUUACUGUUCUCACUAACUUUGAUAUAAAGGAAAGGCCAGAAAAAAGUGCUUGGUGGGAUUUCGGCUGAUGACAAAUGUAUUUAUUAUUUAUUUAUUAAGUCACAUUUGUUGUAGAUUAUUAACAUGUGCAAUCAUUAUAUUAUUUUUGGAUGGUGGAUUUAAAACACAGUCUCAUGUUUUUGCUGCUAGAGAAUGUUUGUCAUUACAAAAUGCUAAGCCAUGGUGAGGGAAACCAAUCUGUGGAUCUUUUAAAUUGAUAAAAAUAUCAUAAAAUUCACCUUGAAUCUUGACAGAGUUCUGUUUAUACUAAGUUAGGUGUCAUUUGCACUAAGUGCCAUGUCGUUCAAAACCGUAAAAGCUUUGUUCUUCUUCAGAACACUAUUUAAGAUAUUUUGGAUAAAAACUAGGAGGCUUGUGACUGUCCAAGUAUGUUACACUGUCAAGGUCCAGAAAAGUAUAAAAAGCAUGUACUGAAGCUGCAGUCAGAGCGCAGGUGGAUCCUGUCUGGUACGUUCACUUAGGAGGUUACCUGUUUAUUCUUGGAUUAUUUCUUAAUUUCCAUGAUGUUUUGCCAUUAAAUAGUUGCAAAAGAACAGAUUAUUAAUGCCUAUGAAGUGAGGUUCGGGGGUGUCUCAUCAAUCAGAUCACAUUGAUGCUCAGGUGAGGAGUGCGCCAUCUGUACUCUUGUAUUGGAUUUCUUGAUAUUGUUUGUUCCUGUCUCACAGGAGCAGGCCCGAUUUCCCCUGUGUCGUGCUCAGAUCAAGACCAAAGAGCUGGUGAAGUAUCCUGGAGAAGAAACAGAGGAUGGACCAGCCAACGGGGAGAACUGCGAUCAAGUUCCAAAGUGGAUGCUUUGUUGAAUGCAGCCUGUUGAAGCUCUGCAAUGAAGACCCCACUGUGAAGAGUCUUGUAGCUUCUCAGUUUACCAGGUUUAUGGAUCUUACAGAAGAUCCCUUGAGGCUUGGACUCCCGCAGCAGAGGAUCAGUGUGUUGAUAGAUGUCAUAGACUGGGCCAGAGCAGAGAUGUGGUGAUCACUAAGGUAGUCUUUUAUUCAUUGCAUGGGAGGCACUCAGAGGAAAGUUAGCAGCUGAUUGCAGCAAUAAUUAUUACACAUCUGAGAUUAUUCUCAUUGUUAAACACAGUGCUGACAAAUGAUACAUGAUAUUAAUGGUUUUCUUAUCAA